This 83-nucleotide transfer RNA is filed under the name Mus musculus (house mouse). RNAcentral's name for it is "tRNA-Leu (CAG) (tRNA-Leu-CAG-3-1)". It matches the Rfam family "tRNA". Rfam says of the family: Transfer RNA (tRNA) molecules are approximately 80 nucleotides in length. Their secondary structure includes four short double-helical elements and three loops (D, anti-codon, and T loops). Further hydrogen bonds mediate the characteristic L-shaped molecular structure. tRNAs have two regions of fundamental functional importance: the anti-codon, which is responsible for specific mRNA codon recognition, and the 3' end, to which the tRNAs corresponding amino acid is attached (by aminoacyl-tRNA synthetases). tRNAs cope with the degeneracy of the genetic code in two manners: having more than one tRNA (with a specific anti-codon) for a particular amino acid; and 'wobble' base-pairing, i.e. permitting non-standard base-pairing at the 3rd anti-codon position. The record is from Rfam by way of RNAcentral. Lineage: Eukaryota; Metazoa; Chordata; Mammalia; Rodentia; Muridae.
GUCAGGAUGGCCGAGUGGUCUAAGGAGCUGUGUUCAGGUCGCAGUCUCCCCUGGAGGCGUGGGUUCGAAUCCCACUCCUGACA